Long non-coding RNA from Neopsephotus bourkii (Bourke's parrot), 158 nucleotides. RefSeq lists it as uncharacterized. The record is from RefSeq and is a predicted model, not a curated record. Lineage: Eukaryota; Metazoa; Chordata; Aves; Psittaciformes; Psittacidae. The transcript has 2 exons.
GGGGAGUGAAGUGACAUGGACCUCCUCGAGUGCAGAAUGCCACGCACCCCAGAGACUUCCCUGUGGGAAAACAGCUGCAAAACUGCUUGUGGUUAUUCAUCCUCCCAAUAAACACAUGGAGGGAAAAGUCUGGCAAAGAUAUUCCUCUUUUAUAUACA